AUCAAACAAUUUAUGAAGUAUACUAUGAAAUGUGUCGCGUUAUCAUUAUGGACUUUGACCAAUAUAGAUUUAUAAUUAUUUUCGCAGAUCUUUAGUCUAUGUUUGCGAAUUAUUGUGAUCUCCUAUCAUUAUAGACAAAUUGUAAACAAACUUUGGAAUGAAUCGACUCAACGGCUUUGUAGGAAAUGACACAAUAAUAUUUUUAAAAAUAAGGGUACAUUUAGUUCGGAUCGAAGAUCCAUAAUUUUGCUACUCUAAUAUGUUGAGUUGAUAAUUUUACCAUCCAAAUCCAUAUACAAAAUAGAAAUAUCAAAUUUAGAUGUAUGAUAAAAAUCUGAAUUUUCGCUGCAAUUGAUAUGUAGAUUCAACAAAAUUAUAAAUUUAAAACUAUAACUAGUGUAUUUUGUUCUACACAUAAAAAGCUAUGAAGGUAAAAUAAUGAAAAUUAAUUAAUUUUUCUAAUUUCUAAAGAAUUAAUUUGAUUAUGAGAUAAAUUAAAGGGCGAUUCUCUCAAAUAGUCAUUUUUCAGUUUUUGUUACAAAAAUAUCAUUCAAUAAGGAAAAUGAUCAAAAUAGUUUCUUUUUAUUUUGAAAAUUUAAAUAUUUAUUUUUUAUUUUUUAAAAUUUAAAACUCUAUCCUCAAAAUUCCACCCCUUAACUCUAAACCUUAAGUCUAGAUUAAUUAACCUUAAGGUAUAAAUAUAUUUUUGCCCUUUAAUAAAACUUAUUUUGGUCGUUUUUCUCAUUGAAGACUAUUUUUGUGACAAAUUUUUUAAAAAGACUAUCCUAGAGAAUUUCUCUAAAUUAAAUAUUUAUUUAUAUUAUUUAUUAAAAACACUAAACAA
RNAcentral lists this long non-coding RNA (844 nucleotides) under Brassica napus (rape). Its description in RNAcentral is "long non-coding RNA (BNAP_LNC019779)". Lineage: Eukaryota; Viridiplantae; Streptophyta; Magnoliopsida; Brassicales; Brassicaceae. The record is from RNAcentral.